CCAGACUCCUACGGGAGGCAGCAGUGGGGGAUAUUGCACAAUGGGGGGAACCCUGAUGCAGCGACGCCGCGUGAGUGAAGAAGUAUUUCGGUAUGUAAAGCCCUAUCAGCAGGGAAGAACAAUGACGGUACCUGACUAAGAAGCACCGGCUAAAUACGUGCCAGCAGCCGCGGUAAUACGUAUGGUGCAAGCGUUAUCCGGAUUUACUGGGUGUAAAGGGAGCGCAGGCGGCGCGUUAAGCCUGGUGUGAAAGCCCACGGCCCAACCGUGGGACUGCUCUGGAAACUGUGCGGCUUGAGUGCGGGAGGGGCAGGCGGAAUUCCUAGUGUAGCGGUGAAAUGCGUAGAUAUUAGGAGGAACACCGGCGGCGAAGGCGGCCUGCUGGACCGUAACUGACGUUGAGGCUCGAAAGCGUGGGGAGCAAACAGGAUUAGAUACCCCCGUA
Molecule: ribosomal RNA, 445 nt
Filed under: uncultured bacterium
Lineage: Bacteria
Description: partial 16S ribosomal RNA
Rfam family: Bacterial small subunit ribosomal RNA
Source: RNAcentral